CCUACGGGAGGCAGCAGUGAGGAAUAUUGGUCAAUGGCCGAGAGGCUGAACCAGCCAAGUCGCGUGAGGGAAGAAUGUCCUAUGGAUUGUAAACCUCUUUUGUCAGGGAGCAAAGUCACCCACGUGUGGGGGUUGGAGAGUACCUGAAGAAAAAGCAUCGGCUAACUCCGUGCCAGCAGCCGCGGUAAUACGGAGGAUGCGAGCGUUAGCCGGAUUUAUUGGGUUUAAAGGGUGCGUAGGCGGAUUGAUAAGGUUGAGGGGAAAAGUCCGAGCUUAACUCGGGAACUGCCUCGAAUACUGUUGAUCUAGAGAGUAGAUGCGGUAGGUGGAAUGUAAGGUGUAGCGGUGAAAUGCUUAGAGAUCAUACAGAACACCGAUUGCGAAGGCAGCUUACCAAUCUAUAUCUGACGUUGAGGCUCGAAAGCGUGGGGAGCAAACAGGAUUAGAUACCCGGGUAGUC
RNAcentral lists this ribosomal RNA (460 nucleotides) under uncultured bacterium. RNAcentral describes it as "partial 16S ribosomal RNA". It matches the Rfam family "Bacterial small subunit ribosomal RNA", at positions 338 to 795 of the family's 1533-position model. The record is from RNAcentral.